Molecule: long non-coding RNA, 598 nt
Organism: Capsicum annuum
Lineage: Eukaryota; Viridiplantae; Streptophyta; Magnoliopsida; Solanales; Solanaceae
Exons: 3
Source: RefSeq, a predicted model, not a curated record
CAGGGUUCCUUGCUAUGUGAAGUGCGGAUUGGCUGUCACAAUACACAUCAAAUGGGAUCAGACAUGGUACUGUUCAGGUGGACAGUCUCAGCAGUGUCAGUGAUCUCUGAGUACCUUGAUCUACACCUCCAUAGUUGCUGAGUCCUCAAGACUCAAUAUUUCUAUGAAUCAACCUGAAAUCCAUGAAGGCAGUUCAAAGAGAAGUUUCACAUCAAUGUUGGAGUCACAGGAGAUCGAUGCAACUGAUGACUCCAUAGGUCAAAAAAAUAACGAAUCGAAAGGAUGACAGGAUGAAGUUUCAUUGCUCUUGUAGAAUAGACACCAUCAAUCUUGGUUCAUACUUCAUACAUAUGUUAAAUUAGUGAACUGUAUACAACAUAUAUAGGCGACAUCCAAUUAGAAACUUUUGAGAAAAGUUUAAAAUUGUUUCAAAGCACCAUAUGUUACAAUAAAAGUUUUUCCCUUUGGUACUCUACUGUUAAGAUUGGUUGUAUGCUGAAGCGUUCUCCUGAAUUCUGAUGUGGAAGUAUAAAUACUACUAUUAGCAAAUUCGUUGUUAUGAUGGUUGAAUGACAAGACAAGAUAUCUUUUGUAACAA